GUGUGCAUAUGUGUUCUGCGUGCUGUGUAUUUGUGCUAUGCACAUACCACACAGCCAUCUGUACACACGCGUCAUUACACACACGGUGUGUGUGGCGUCAUCUAUGCCGUGUGUGUGCGUGUGUGUCUAUGAAUUCCAGGUUAUCUCGGCCUCAUUUCUCCAGCAGUUGAGAUGACGGAGAUUAAAGUGUCAAAGCUCCGAGCUGACGAGUGGGUUCUCAUGGUGCACAUCACCUGUCUGUUUUGACAGUCUUUGGCUGUUAAGAGUGAUUAAUGGAAGGCAUCAUAGAAAGGAACGUGUCUCAAUUCUGUCCCAUUCUUUGCAGCUAAUAGCCCCAGUAUAUGAAAAUGUUAAUGUGUGGUUCCCGGGGAAGCGUCACCGAUCCUAAUAUUGUUACUGUCGUGGUAACGUCCAUGAAGCUCGUGCUGGAGUUGGAGGAGCUGGGGCCUGCAGCAUGGGGUGGAGAAAAGUCUGGUGCCUCUGCCUCGUUACCAAGGGCCCUGCACCCCAAUGUCCUCUCAGCAUUUGGGCGUUUGAGAGGAGCAGGGAAGAGGGGCUCUGUGAGAAGAGCAGGGAGACAAGAGGAGUCCGGGAGGGGAGUGCUCAAGAAAGAAGAUGAAAGCUGGGGACAGGACAGAUGUGCCAAGUAUUCACCCAAACCAGAAGGCAGCAGGACAUUCGAGAGCCACCAUCCUGCUCUUCGGAGAUGCAUUUGCACUUGUGCCUUUCUUGGAAAAGUCAAGUUGUCAUGGAGUCACCAGUGCCCCUGGUACAGGGCUGUCUUCCCAACACCCCAGAGUGCUCGCCCCGAAUGCCUGCUCACCAUGUUCACACGCUCUGGAGACAGCACACAGCCUGCGGCUCGCCACGUUCACACUCUCUACAGACAGCACACAGCCUGCAGCUCGCCACGUUCACAUGCUCUGGAGACAGCACACAGCCUGUGGCACACCGUGUUCACACGCUCUAGAGACAGUACACAGCCUGCAGCUCACCGUGUUCACACACCCUGGAGACAGCACACAGCCUGCGGCUCACCGUGUUCACACGCCCUGGAGACAGCACACAGCCUGCGGCUCACCGUGUUCACACGCUCUGGAGACAGCACACAGCCUGCGGCUCACCGUGUUCACACGCUCUGGAGACAGCACACAGCCUGCGGCUCACCGUGAAUUCACACGCUCCUGUGAGACAGCACACAGCCUGCAGGCUCACCGUA
RNAcentral lists this long non-coding RNA (1219 nucleotides) under Papio anubis (olive baboon). RNAcentral describes it as "lncRNA (ENSPANG00000040440.1)". Lineage: Eukaryota; Metazoa; Chordata; Mammalia; Primates; Cercopithecidae. The record is from RNAcentral.